CCCUUAGAUGUCCUGGGCUGCACGCGCGCUGCACUGACGAACUCAACGAGCUUAUCACCUUGGCAGAGAUGUCUGGGUAAUCUUUUGAAAGUUCGUCGUGCUGGGGAUAGAUGAUUGUAAUUAUUCGUCUUGAACGAGGAAUUCCUAGUAAGUGUGAGUCAUCAGCUCGCGCUGAUUACGUCCCUGCCCUUUGUACACACCGCCCGUCGCUCCUACCGAUUGAAUGGUCCGGUGAGGUUCUCGGAUUUUUUCUGUUGUUUGGUUCGCUAAACGAUUGAAGAGAGAAGUUACCCAAACCUUACCAUUUAGAGGAAGGAGAAGUCGUAACA
This 329-nucleotide ribosomal RNA is filed under the name uncultured eukaryote. Its description in RNAcentral is "partial 18S ribosomal RNA". It matches the Rfam family "Eukaryotic small subunit ribosomal RNA", at positions 1470 to 1796 of the family's 1831-position model. The record is from RNAcentral.